GUGGGCAGGGGCAGGUAUGUGGUGGGUGGUGGCCUGAGGUGAGCAGGGCCCUCACACCUGCCUCACCCCCCAG
Molecule: microRNA precursor, 73 nt
Organism: Pongo abelii (Sumatran orangutan)
Lineage: Eukaryota; Metazoa; Chordata; Mammalia; Primates; Hominidae
Source: Ensembl